UAAAAUACACGAAAGGAAUGUAUUGAUUACGUCCAUGUAGGAAAACAAAUGGUGAUAUUCCUUUAAUCCAAACCAAGUGAAUCUGACAUUAUGUGUAUUUCACCUCUGCACUGAGUUUGGCUCCAUGCAGCCGCCCGUGAUUUCUACCCUCGAUGGUCCCCUGUCGAACUCCCUCGUCAAAGCCCUCCUGAUAACCUUCAACAUGAAACCUAAAAGAGAAAAGCAUAUUUAUGAGCCUAAAUGUAAAUUAAUAACAGCUAAGGACACUGAACUAACUUAAACACACACUUACACACUGGACUACAUUGAUGAACACUAACUUCGUGACGCAACAGUUUGUGCGUGACUUUAGUUAACGUUACCUGUCAUCGGCCAUGAUGAUGGAGUCAAACAAAUCAUCAUUAUUGGGCUCAAAUGCCAUUUUUACAUUAAAAUAGCUUGCUUUCCUGAUCAGAAGAGUUUACGGGUGGUCUUCCGGAAUCGUUCUUCUUCGGUCCUAGCCGAAUGUUAACACCGAUGGGACUGAACCAACGCGCCGUCUACUGGAAGGAAAGCUAAAGGUUUGCAUCACUAACUGUGUGUAUUUCUGAUCAGAUCUUGAAAUAAGUUGGAUAUCCGGUUGUUUGUACUGAAAGAAAGACGUCAGUCGGUAACAAUAAUAUUUAAAGAUUUACCGGUUUGCAUUUUUAGAUCUGCACUGAAGAGUGAAGACCAAAUACGUAUUUUCAGGUGUCAAAUACGAUGUAAGCCAUGUCUGGCUGCGUACAGAUGUCGUAGCCGGACGGCUUCACUCCAGUCAUUUGCCAAAUGUGGACCAGAGUCGGGCAACGGGAGGCUCUCCACGCCGAUACUUCCACAAACAGUGACAAAGACAGGUGUGUGUUGGGAUAACAGUGAUUGCGGAGGCUACGGGUUCGCUGGCAGUGGAGGUUGGAGCAGAUGCAUUCAUGUGGCUGCUUGUGGCUCAGACCAGAUUUCAAAAGCAUGAUCUCUGUUCUUGUUUGAAGAAACCGCUCUUCGUGCAAAACACACGAAAUAGAUGAUGUCAUUUGAGGCAGUUUAGGAGUAAGAGGGGGAUGGUCCCAAGAGAGAGUCGCUUUUUGCUGGAAGUCUGAGAGUCUUCAAUCCCUAUGCGAUCACUAUCCCAGUUGCGCUUAAUAUAUCCGCCUGAUUUGCCGACAAUAAUUUAGCUGUCAAUGCUUUUCAAAUUGAUAUUCAAAUGGAGAAAAUCUUACAUUUUACCAUUUACCAAUCACCAGUCUUUAUGUUGUGCAUUGUACAAUGCUUUGCAAUAAAACCAUGUUUUUUUCAUAUAA
Molecule: long non-coding RNA, 1316 nt
Filed under: Danio rerio (zebrafish)
Lineage: Eukaryota; Metazoa; Chordata; Actinopteri; Cypriniformes; Danionidae
Description: si:ch211-96b20.2 (ENSDARG00000098634.2)
Source: RNAcentral